Prunus mume (Japanese apricot) is the source of this 216-nucleotide non-coding RNA. Lineage: Eukaryota; Viridiplantae; Streptophyta; Magnoliopsida; Rosales; Rosaceae. The record is from RefSeq and is a predicted model, not a curated record.
UGAGAGGCCCAAGAGGUGGAAUGAUCUUCUUCAAGAAAGAUCCGGUUCUUGGGGUUGAUCUAGAAUCUGCCAUCAACAAUGCUGUUUUUCCAGGUUUACAGGGUGGUCCCCAUAACCACACUAUUGGGGGCCUUGCAGUUUGCUUGAAGUAUGCACAGUCCCCAGAAUUUAAGGCUUACCAGAAUAAGGUGGUCUCUAAUUGUAGGGCUCUUGCAA